GAGACCGGCGCACGGGUGCGUAACGCGUAUGCAAUCUACCUUUCACAAAGGGAUAGCCCAGAGAAAUUUGGAUUAAUACCUUAUAGUAUAGCGACUUCGCAUGGAGAUGCUAUUAAAGAUUUAUCGGUGAAAGAUGAGCAUGCGUCCCAUUAGCUAGUUGGUAAGGUAACGGCUUACCAAGGCUACGAUGGGUAGGGGUCCUGAGAGGGAGAUCCCCCACACUGGUACUGAGACACGGACCAGACUCCUACGGGAGGCAGCAGUGAGGAAUAUUGGUCAAUGGGCGCAAGCCUGAACCAGCCAUGCCGCGUGCAGGAUGACGGUCCUAUGGAUUGUAAACUGCUUUUGUACAGGAAGAAACACUCCCUCGUGAGGGAGCUUGACGGUACUGUAAGAAUAAGGAUCGGCUAACUCCGUGCCAGCAGCCGCGGUAAUACGGAGGAUCCAAGCGUUAUCCGGAAUCAUUGGGUUUAAAGGGUCCGUAGGCGGCUUAAUAAGUCAGUGGUGAAAGCCCUACGCUUAACGUAGGAACGGCCAUUGAUACUGUUAGGCUUGAAUUAUUAGGAAGUAACUAGAAUAUGUAGUGUAGCGGUGAAAUGCUUAGAGAUUACAUGGAAUACCAAUUGCGAAGGCAGGUUACUACUAAUGGAUUGACGCUGAUGGACGAAAGCGUGGGUAGCGAACAGGAUUAGAUACCCUGGUAGUCCACGCCGUAAACGAUGGAUACUAGCUGUUGGAAGCAAUUUCAGUGGCUAAGCGAAAGUGAUAAGUAUCCCACCUGGGGAGUACGUUCGCAAGAAUGAAACUCAAAGGAAUUGACGGGGGCCCGCACAAGCGGUGGAGCAUGUGGUCUAAUUCGAUGAU
RNAcentral lists this ribosomal RNA (864 nucleotides) under uncultured Bacteroidota bacterium. RNAcentral describes it as "bacterial SSU rRNA". It matches the Rfam family "Bacterial small subunit ribosomal RNA", at positions 91 to 958 of the family's 1533-position model. Lineage: Bacteria; Pseudomonadati; Bacteroidota. The record is from RNAcentral.